CCGCACUCGCACGUCCCACCUCCUCCCCCUCUCUCGAUCUCCUUUGCGAACCCUAGCCCCACGCUCGCACGCUCCCUGUCGCGCCGCCGCCUCCGCCUCUGCUCGCCGUCGGGCCGUUUCCUUCUUCCCCGAGGGCGGCGAGCCGGAGCUGCCCCUGCGCGUUGUCGACCACCUCCUCGCUGGCUGGACGCCGUCGACUACGAAGCCGGUCUUCUCUAAGUGCGUGCCGCCGUAUGGGUCGCCGAGACGCCGAGGCCGAGGUGGAGCUCCAGACCAUCGAGGCCAUGUACGCCGCUGAGUCCACCAGGCACCGCCACCUCCCCGACUGGUCCAAGACACCAGCCCCCGCCCCCGUUCGCCCACGGCCCAACCCAGUCCCCGCGGCUGCGUGUGCCUCCUCGCCGUCGUGGGUCCUCUCGCCCCCCACUUGCCAAGGUGCGGCUCCCCCUCUUUUGCCUCUCAUGUUCUACUCCAAAAUGCUUCUUUUGUCUAUCUUGAAGCUUCAGUGAUGCUGCCAAAUUUAGUCUAUCUUGAAGCUUGGGAACAUUCAAAUUUAGUCUAACUUUUGAGUAGCAAGUUCCCUGAUUUUUUUUUUUGAAGCUUCAGUUUUGCAUCUCAAGUCUGAUCGAAAUGCACAAGACAUUCAAAUCACUGAAUGAAUGCCUAAAAAGAGGAAAAAGGCAGCAAGGAGGGAGAGGAUAUUUUUGUAUCUCAGGUCUGAAUGAGAUGCACAUUAUAAUGUCAAUAUGUCAUCAGAUUAAUUGGUUUCUUGGGGGUCCUAAUGAGUUUUAUGAGAAAAACUAGCUUAAAUGGCAGCAAGUUUUGAAUACAGUGUAUGUUCUAUAGCUUCUUUAACAAGAUCACCGAAUACAGUUUUUUGGGGUCCUUGUAUUGUUUAUCAUGUUUAUCACUGCAAGUUCAUGAUCCAAUAGUUAAGAGUAAGUCUAAGAUCAUUUGGUCACAGAAAUUUGAUCUUGACUGAACAUCAACUUGACAGAUCAAAACCUGGCAGAAAUUGACAGGUUCUGAGCAUCAACUUGACUGAACAAAGAUCUUGAUUGAAAGAACUUGUGCUUGGUCCUAUGCAUCUACAGUUUUGUUAAUAGAUCUUUUUUGUAUCUUUCAUUCUGUCUUGAUCUUGACUGAGUAAAUUUUCAGUGUGAGUACCAGCUACUCACCCAUGUUCUUCUCUAUAAUCAAGUGUUCCCGGGGAAGCCUAGUAAUGGCCAAUUCAUCUCAAAAUAAUGCAAACCCUUGCAAACUGCUCAGGUAGCUAUUGCUCCUAAUCAAAUGACAAUUUAUCCUUUGAACUUGUUCACAAAUGCAACUCUGGUCGCUGGCUUCUACAUAUGGACCAUGUGGAGUACUCUGUAUAUUCAACAUAGUGAUUUUCUUUUGCUUAUUUGAUUUUUGGAUUAAUUUGUAUAUUCAACAUAUAUUGUGGAAAUCUUGAAUUUUAUUGAAACCUCUAUACUUGCUUGAACUGAUGUUCAGGAAGUAGCUGAGCACACCUAUGUCAUCGGUUGUAAAUAGCUGGACUAAAGGAUCUAUGCACAUAUCUGCACCCCAAGUGCAGGUUUAUUGCUGGAGUGUGGAAUAGUUUGAGCACGACAGUCAAGAUGCAGGAUAUAGAAUCAAACUCAUUUCUUUAUUGCAGACCUUUUUGGGCGUUUCUCGGAAAAUUAUACGACUCUUCAUUAGGGUCAUGAUGAAUGCCUGCUUUUCAAGUUUUCAUGUGGAUCUGCUACUGAUCAGGGUCUGGUGAAAGGCAAGGACAAAUGGCUUGUUUUGUCCAGUCCAUGGUGGGCAAGGUCUUUGUCUCUGGGUUGCGAGAAUAUCUUUGACCGUCCAUAAUCUCUGGUCAGCUGCAUACAUCAUAUUCUUAUAAUAUCAUAUGUGAUUUCCAGUGGUGUUGUGUAAAAAGACUGCUUGUUAUAGCUUCAGUUUGGCCUGGUUCAGUUUGGUUGCUCAUGUUCAUGUGUGUCUUCACCUCAGAAAAAUUAGAAGGAAAUCAAAUUAUCUUUUGGCCCGCUUCUCAUUUU
This is a long non-coding RNA of Triticum dicoccoides, 2042 nucleotides long. RefSeq lists it as uncharacterized. The record is from RefSeq and is a predicted model, not a curated record. Lineage: Eukaryota; Viridiplantae; Streptophyta; Magnoliopsida; Poales; Poaceae. The transcript has 2 exons.